AGUUGCAGGGUAUAGACCCGAAACCCGGUGAUCUAGCCAUGGGCAGGUUGAAGGUUGGGUAACACUAACUGGAGGACCGAACCGACUAAUGUUGAAAAAUUAGCGGAUGACUUGUGGCUGGGGGUGAAAGGCCAAUCAAACCGGGAGAUAGCUGGUUCUCCCCGAAAGCUAUUUAGGUAGCGCCUCGUGAAUUCAUCUCCGGGGGUAGAGCACUGUUUCGGCAAGGGGGUCAUCCCGACUUACCAACCCGAUGCAAACUGCGAAUACCGGAGAAUGUUAUCACGGGAGACACACGGCGGGUGCUAACGUCCGUCGUGAAGAGGGAAACAACCCAGACCGCCAGCUAAGGUCCCAAAGUCAUGGUUAAGUGGGAAACGAUGUGGGAAGGCCCAGACAGCCAGGAUGUUGGCUUAGAAGCAGCCAUCAUUUAAAGAAAGCGUAAUAGCUCACUGGUCGAGUCGGCCUGCGCGGAAGAUGUAACGGGGCUAAACCAUGCACCGAAGCUGCGGCAGCGACACUGUGUGU
This 525-nucleotide ribosomal RNA is filed under the name Escherichia coli. Its description in RNAcentral is "partial 23S ribosomal RNA". It matches the Rfam family "Bacterial large subunit ribosomal RNA", at positions 698 to 1221 of the family's 2925-position model. Lineage: Bacteria; Pseudomonadati; Pseudomonadota; Gammaproteobacteria; Enterobacterales; Enterobacteriaceae. The record is from RNAcentral.